RNAcentral lists this transfer RNA (73 nucleotides) under Nitrospira sp. Its description in RNAcentral is "tRNA-Ser". It matches the Rfam family "tRNA". Rfam says of the family: Transfer RNA (tRNA) molecules are approximately 80 nucleotides in length. Their secondary structure includes four short double-helical elements and three loops (D, anti-codon, and T loops). Further hydrogen bonds mediate the characteristic L-shaped molecular structure. tRNAs have two regions of fundamental functional importance: the anti-codon, which is responsible for specific mRNA codon recognition, and the 3' end, to which the tRNAs corresponding amino acid is attached (by aminoacyl-tRNA synthetases). tRNAs cope with the degeneracy of the genetic code in two manners: having more than one tRNA (with a specific anti-codon) for a particular amino acid; and 'wobble' base-pairing, i.e. permitting non-standard base-pairing at the 3rd anti-codon position. Lineage: Bacteria; Pseudomonadati; Nitrospirota; Nitrospiria; Nitrospirales; Nitrospiraceae. The record is from RNAcentral.
GCGCCGGUAACUCAAUCGCACGAGUGCCCGAUUACUAAUCGGGUUGAUGUGGGUUGGAGCCCCACCCGGCGCA